This 301-nucleotide ribosomal RNA is filed under the name uncultured bacterium. RNAcentral's name for it is "partial 16S ribosomal RNA". It matches the Rfam family "Bacterial small subunit ribosomal RNA", at positions 509 to 807 of the family's 1533-position model. The record is from RNAcentral.
CAGCAGCCGCGGUAAUACGUAGGGUGCAAGCGUUAAUCGGAAUUACUGGGCGUAAAGCGUGCGUAGGCGGUGAGUUAAGUCUGUUGUGAAAUCCCCGGGCUCAACCUGGGAAUGGCAAUGGAUACUGGCAAGCUAGAGUGUGUCAGAGGAUGGUGGAAUUCCCGGUGUAGCGGUGAAAUGCGUAGAGAUCGGGAGGAACAUCAGUGGCGAAGGCGGCCAUCUGGGACAACACUGACGCUGAGGCACGAAAGCGUGGGGAGCAAACAGGAUUAGAUACCCGUGUAGUCCCUGUCUCUUAUAC